CUAAAAGGGUGUGAGUAACUCGGAAGGAGUCGUGGGAUAAAAUGAUGCAGAAGGCGUCAUUCUUUAGAGAUAAAGAAACAAUAUUGUAUACUUUGAUUAACCACCAAUUACUCGGCUAACUCCAAAUAAAUAAAUCAAAAGCAUAGAGUGUGAAGCAAACUUGUGGUAGAUUGGAUUGCUUCUUCCCUUUUCUGGAGAACCGGGAGGCUAUACCGCAUAUUCUACUUGGUAUCUGGCAGUCCAAUCUAAGGGCGCAAGGAAUCUGGGAUGUCUAGGACCAGAAUUUUAUUCCAGAAAAACCUCCGAGCAGGCCAGAAAGUUUUACUCUUUAGAUGAGAGCGGGUACUUCCGAGCUCGCCAGGAUAUUGGGCGAGCUGAGUGAGACAGAGAUGCAUUUGCCAAGCAUUUAUUCAUAAAAAUAAAGUUUCUAUAUUUCAUAUGAAAAAUAAAUUGAAAAUCAACUAAAAAUUGAAUUUUUUUUAAAGAUAUCCUUAAGCUUUUCGAUAUAAUGGAUAAAAUCCUUCUCUUUAUUAAAAGCAUAGCAUAACAAAUAUUUGUUACAACUUUUUUUAAAAAAAUAAAUAUUCAACUAAAUAUAAUAUAAACUAUUUUUCAUAAUUAACUAAACAUACAAAAAUUAUUUUUUUAUAUCAUAUAUUUAUGGCCAACCACACAUACAAAAAUUAUUUUUUUAAGACAUAAAGGUGAAAUUUUUUUCAGCAGGUCCCUGAUACCCUAGAGAAAGGCUAGUAGGAACACCAAUU
This 764-nucleotide long non-coding RNA is filed under the name Phoenix dactylifera (date palm). RNAcentral describes it as "long non-coding RNA (PDAC_LNC014470)". The record is from RNAcentral. Lineage: Eukaryota; Viridiplantae; Streptophyta; Magnoliopsida; Arecales; Arecaceae.